Molecule: non-coding RNA, 71 nt
Organism: Phialocephala subalpina
Lineage: Eukaryota; Fungi; Ascomycota; Leotiomycetes; Helotiales; Mollisiaceae
Source: the annotation of a GenBank genome assembly
UCCGUAUUGGUGUACCGGUAACAUUUCCGCCUCUCACGCGGGAGCACAGGGUUCGAUUCCCUGAUACGGAG